UCGCACGGGAUCACUUGAGUAGUAAUACAAGAGUGGUCUAGUGGCGCACGGGUGAGUAACAUGUGAAUUACAUGCCCUAUAGAGGGGAAUAGCCCAGGGAAACUUGGAUUAAUACCCCAUAGUCUCGCAAGAGUAAAGGUGGCCGCAAGGCUGUCGCUAUAGGAUUGGUUCGCACCCUAUCAGCUUGUUGGUGAGGUAAUGGCUCACCAAGGCUACGACGGGUACCUGGUCUGAGAGGACGAUCAGGCACACUGGAACUGAGACACGGUCCAGACACCUACGGGUGGCAGCAGUCGAGAAUAAUUCACAAUGGGGGCAACCCUGAUGGUGCAACGCCGCGUGGAGGAUGACGGUCUUCGGAUUGUAAACUCCUGUCAUCUGGGAGUAAGGCAUGGUUGUUAAUAGCAAACAUGAUUGAUAGUACCAGAAGAGGAAGGGACGGCUAACUUCGUGCCAGCAGCCGCGGUAAUACGAAGGUCCCAAGCGUUGUUCGGAAUCACUGGGCGUAAAGGGAGCGUAGGCGGCGUGGUAAGUCAGAUGUGAAAUCCCGGGGCUCAACCCCGGAACUGCAUCCGAUACUGCCAUGCUAGAGGAUUGGAGAGGUAGCUGGAAUUCUUGGUGUAGCAGUGAAAUGCGUAGAGAUCAAGAGGAACACUCGUGGCGAAAGCGAGCUACUGGACAAUUCCUGACGCUGAGGCUCGAAGGCUAGGGUAGCGAAAGGGAUUAGAUACCCCUGUAGUCCUAGCAGUAAACGGUGCACGCUUGGUGUGAGGGGAAUCGACCCCCCUUGUGCCGGAGCUAACGCGUUAAGCGUGCCGCCUGGGAAGUACG
RNAcentral lists this ribosomal RNA (831 nucleotides) under uncultured organism. Its description in RNAcentral is "bacterial SSU rRNA". It matches the Rfam family "Bacterial small subunit ribosomal RNA", at positions 62 to 884 of the family's 1533-position model. The record is from RNAcentral.